Molecule: ribosomal RNA, 432 nt
Filed under: uncultured bacterium
Lineage: Bacteria
Description: bacterial SSU rRNA
Rfam family: Bacterial small subunit ribosomal RNA
Source: RNAcentral
UGGGGAAGAAAUUGCACUCUCUAAUACAGGGUGUAGAUGACGGUACCCGCAUAAGAAGCACCGGCUAACUACGUGCCAGCAGCCGCGGUAAUACGUAGGGUGCGAGCGUUAAUCGGAAUUACUGGGCGUAAAGCGUGCGCAGGUGGUUGUGUAAGUCAGAUGUGAAAUCCCCGGGCUCAACCUGGGAACUGCAUUUGAGACUGCACGGCUAGAGGAUGGCAGAGGGGGGUAGAAUUCCACGUGUAGCAGUGAAAUGCGUAGAUAUGUGGAGGAAUACCGAUGGCGAAGGCAGCCCCCUGGGCUAUUUCUGACACUCAUGCACGAAAGCGUGGGGAGCAAACAGGAUUAGAUACCCUGGUAGUCCACGCCCUAAACGAUGUCAACUAGAUGUUGGAAGGGUUAAACCUUUUAGUGUCGUAGCUAACGCGUGAA